UCAUAUCGUCUUCUUUCUUGUUCUUUUUUUUGUAACAUCUUACAUAAAAGAUUAAGAUAAUUUAGACUUUGUGAAACUACUUUUACAAUGAUCAGUUGCGAUGUGUGUUUGAGAAGUGUACGUGGAAAUACCAAACUAAAUUUGAAUGUAACAAAUUUUCGGAGCAUGACCACUAGUCUAGGUUUUUGGUUUGAAGUUUACGUUCACAGCACUUCAACUUAACAUUUCGAACAUUAUCAGUCCCUAUUUUGGAACUUUGCCCAGUGUGACUUUAGACACAAUUCGUUUAUGUUCAUGAAGUGUAGCUUGACGCCAUUUCUUAUCAAUUCCCGAGUCUUCCGGAUCAAUCGAGAGAUUAUAUUGUCAUAUAUACACACAUGUACACACGUUGCCCUCUGAUAAGAAUUGUUGGCUGAAGCAGUGUUGCGAAGUGCUUUACGGUUUAUGUUGUAGCCUAUUAUACACACUAGGUUACCUGUGUUACAUUUUUCUACAAUUCUACAUCAGUAACUGAUCUUUGCAUUUAUUAUCAACUACCAUUGCCCGUCACAUAUUGUUAUUCUUCAUUUAUUAUUUUGUUUUCCUUUUUUCUGACGUUGUUCUACGUGUAACUAUUUCAAGUUCGAUUUUUGGUUAGUGAUCAAUUUCAAACUUGUUUUUGAAACUUCAUGUGUUCUCAAUUAAAAGCGUAGUUACGUUAGUUCUACUACAGAUUACAAACAUUUCGUUCUCUCAACAUCAGUUUCUCUAUAGUUUCUAGCCCGAGUCAUCCUAUGCUGCAUAGAUAAGACUACUCGUUUCCACUUUUCUCUUCUUUUUUCUGCCCUGCCAACUUAACAAAAUCGCAAGGCGCAAAUAUUUGUGUUGUCCAGGCAAAAAUCAUAAAGAAGUCACAAGAGAGUUUUGCCUCCCGCUCACCGGAACAGACCAACAUGACCAAACUACAAAGAAACAAUAGAACUUGUGAACCGGAAACCCGGGGGGAGAAUCCGAAUUCCAUACAAGAACUCUUCUCCCUUUUUGUCUCGUCUUCUAAUAGCCAUUUAAAGUGUGCCGUAUUUGACCUCACUAAGGAAUGCGUUUCGUUGACGCUGACCACAGACACAAACCAUAGUUUCGAUGGAAUUACAACUUGUGUCUUCUAUUUCGUUUGCAAACUCCAAGACAUACCUAUAUAACUAAUUGCAAAUACACUUGUAGUUAUGAAAGCAAUCAAAUAUUUUAUUCAUAGCUCACAGAUCUUUCAUGCUCUUAACAUUGCAGCUGAAAGUAUUGUUGCAAAAUAAAUGAAGAUCAAAUAUAUACAUAUUUUUCGGAUAUAAAACCAAACAUUUCUCAGUGCUAAGGGUAAAAGUCAAUAUAUGCAUGCAUUGCCAUUCACAUGUAGUUUACAUGCUCUUGCAACCUUAUUAGGAGCAAUCGCAAAACAAGUUGAAGAGUGUGUUGCCAACGGACAAAAUGAUCAAAAGAACAAAACUACGGCGUCCAGAGGCGACCCCCGAGAGAGUUGUUGAUUGGGGGCAUGAGACCACCAAGGCUAGUGAUGAGUGUUCUUUGGUUUUAGUAGAGAACAUUGCCAUACUACGUGUUUUUCCACACAGCGUUUGAGGCUUCUUAGGACAGAGAACAGUAGAGAAGCGUGGAGAAAAGAAAAACAGAAGGCGGAAGAAAGACGCUUUUGAUUUCUUGGAUAAUUUAUUCUCGUAUUGCUUUUUCCUUGUAAUAUCGUCUGGUUUUUAUAUAAUAUUAAUUACUUAAAUUUUAUAUGCUUUAAUUUAAAAGUGGAAUAAAGCUAGGUGGGAAGUUGUUAAAAAUUACUCCCAUUGAGUCAAAAUGACCAAGUAUCAUAGUAAACCAUUUCAAAACAUUUUGGAUAUUUUUUUGUCUCAAAAGUGGUAAUUAUUCUGGUUUCCCACUCCUU
Molecule: long non-coding RNA, 1921 nt
Organism: Caenorhabditis elegans
Lineage: Eukaryota; Metazoa; Nematoda; Chromadorea; Rhabditida; Rhabditidae
Gene: linc-142
Product: ncRNA
Source: Ensembl